AUGCUCCCAGCUCCGCCAGCGCCCGCUCCUCCGUCGAGAGGGCAGGAACAUGGUGGCGGCGACCGGUGGAGAGGGGGCGUCCGGGUCAAUGAGACGUUGUGGUACGAGGUGAAUCGGCGGCAAGCCCGGCGCCAGCGCUACGCGCCGCCUCUCCGACUCCUCACUCCGUCCUCGUCCACAAUGGCCGCUGCCGCCCUCACCUGCGCUCGUGCCCUCUUCAUCUCCGGCCGUGAGCUCCAUCCCGUCCAACCUCAUCUUCCCGGAUCUUCUUGGUUUUGGUCCGGGAGCAUACGGGUGCGGAUCAAAGCGUUGAUGGACAGGUUCGUGAAGGAGUUGCAGAAGGCGCUGGACGCGGACAUCCAGGAUCGCAUCAUGAAGGAGCGGGAGAUGCCAGCUACAUCAGGAACGCAAACGCGAGGUCGCCGAGAGGGAGGCCGUUUGGAAGGCCGAGCUCUCCCGCCGCGAGGUAGUAAUCGAAACCCGUCCAUGUCUUACUGUCGUCUCCUUUUCUGUCAAACCGAUUCAUCUGCGUGUUUAUACCCUGGUGUUGAUUCAUUUGAUGGUGUCGAUGGCAUGAUGCCUUCAGUAAGGGAUCAGGUGCUGAAUUCUGGUGCAUUCCAAACUAUAUAUUAA
RNAcentral lists this ribosomal RNA (633 nucleotides) under Triticum aestivum (bread wheat). Its description in RNAcentral is "partial small subunit ribosomal RNA". The record is from RNAcentral. Lineage: Eukaryota; Viridiplantae; Streptophyta; Magnoliopsida; Poales; Poaceae.